Molecule: ribosomal RNA, 191 nt
Filed under: uncultured bacterium
Lineage: Bacteria
Description: partial 16S ribosomal RNA
Rfam family: Bacterial small subunit ribosomal RNA
Source: RNAcentral
UACCCCACUAAUACCGAUAUAGGCAUCUAUGUUGGUUGAAAGCUUUGGUGGUGUCAGAUGGGCAUGCGUUGUAUUAGCUAGUUGGUGAGGUAACGGCUCACCAAGGCGACGAUACAUAGGGGGACUGAGAGGUUAACCCCCCCACCACUGGUACUGAGACACGGACCAGACUCCUACGGGGAGGCAGCAUG